This 496-nucleotide ribosomal RNA is filed under the name uncultured bacterium. RNAcentral's name for it is "partial 16S ribosomal RNA". It matches the Rfam family "Bacterial small subunit ribosomal RNA", at positions 28 to 523 of the family's 1533-position model. The record is from RNAcentral.
GAUGAACGCUAGCGGCAGGCUUAACACAUGCAAGUCGAGGGGUAGAGGUUGCUUGCAACCUUGAGACCGGCGCACGGGUGCGUAACGCGUAUGCAACCUACCUUUUACAGAGGGAUAGCCCAGAGAAAUCUGGAUUAAUACCUCAUAGUAUAUAACCUUCGCAUGUUGGUUAUAUUAAAGUUCCAACGGUAAAAGAUGGGCAUGCGUCCUAUUAGCUAGAUGGUAAGGUAACGGCUUACCAUGGCAACGAUAGGUAGGGGUCCUGAGAGGGAGAGCCCCCACACUGGUACUGAGACACGGACCAGACUCCUACGGGAGGCAGCAGUGAGGAAUAUUGGACAAUGGGCGCAAGCCUGGUCCAGCCAUGCCGCGUGCAGGAAGAAGCAUCUAUGGUGUGUAAACUGCUUUUGUACAGGAAGAAACACCCCGACGUGUCGGGGCUUGACGGUACUGUAAGAAUAAGGAUCGGCUAACUCCGUGCCAGCCGCCGCCGUAA